Etheostoma spectabile (orangethroat darter) is the source of this 113-nucleotide long non-coding RNA. RefSeq lists it as uncharacterized. Lineage: Eukaryota; Metazoa; Chordata; Actinopteri; Perciformes; Percidae. The transcript is spliced from 3 exons. The record is from RefSeq and is a predicted model, not a curated record.
ACUGUGUGUUAUCGUUCAUAGUUGUGCUGCGUUCCAGACACAGUUUUUAGCCCGUAAGUUACGACUUCAAGUCACAACUCACGACUUGGUAGCACUCCAGGGUUAAGGUUAGG